UACGUAGGGGGCAAGCGUUGUCCGGAAUUAUUGGGCGUAAAGCGCGCGCAGGCGGUCCUUUAAGUCUUGUGUUUAAUGCCAAAGCUCAACUUUGGUACGCAUGGGAAACUGGGGGACUGGAGUGCAGGAGAGGAAAGUGGAAUUCCACGUGUAGCGGUGAAAUGCGUAGAGAUGUGGAGGAACACCAGUGGCGAAGGCGACUUUCUGGCCUGUAACUGACGCUGAGGCGCGAAAGUGUGGGGAGCAAACAGG
RNAcentral lists this ribosomal RNA (252 nucleotides) under uncultured bacterium. RNAcentral describes it as "partial 16S ribosomal RNA". It matches the Rfam family "Bacterial small subunit ribosomal RNA", at positions 524 to 776 of the family's 1533-position model. The record is from RNAcentral.